Molecule: long non-coding RNA, 1579 nt
Organism: Ornithorhynchus anatinus (platypus)
Lineage: Eukaryota; Metazoa; Chordata; Mammalia; Monotremata; Ornithorhynchidae
Exons: 3
Source: RefSeq, a predicted model, not a curated record
AAGAUCCCAGGUCUCCUGACUCCCAGGCCCGUGCUCUCUCCACUAGGCUGCAUUGCUCGCCUUCACCAGGGACCUUAACCAAACUGACCUCUCUAUCUCUCUCCCAGGAAAGUUGCCACCAGAUAUGGAGAUGGGGCUUAGCAAUCAAAGCACAUCACCCAAAGCCGUCCACGCCUGGAUGGGAUCCAGUGUAUCUAGCGAGCUGCGAGUGAACUGCAAGCCAGAGCUGCGUAAAUUCCAAAGUGCUGAGGAUGCAUAUAAGAUACGGCCUAAGAGCUAGAAAGGCCUGAUGGCUUUAAAUGACUCACCGUCUGUCAGUUUUUUGCUUUAUUCCCUGCUUUAGGGGGCAGAAAGCCAUCGUCUUCCGGAUCCUCUGGUGGCCUGGUCAAGGAAAAACAAGAAAUAACUGAAAAUCGAGAUGGAAUAAUGAAGGAAAACACUCUUUCCAGUGAGAGGGGGCCAUCCUGUUUGCUGACUGCACGGUUCUGGGCCUGCGAAAGUCAACGUGGGAAGAAAGUCCCGGUCGCCUACGUAAUUUCUGCACAGGCACUCAUUUCGUCUCAACCAGCAUGAUUUGAGCUAUAAUUCUGAGGCUGCGGGCCUAAUGUCAUGCAAGAGAUCGGGGGCAUUUUGAAGGUAGUAGAAAAACACGCCGAGUCCUCGUAGCAUGACAUGAGAUCUGCCACCCUACUUGAACCACCUCGACUGAACGAAGGAAAAUAAAAUGAAUUUACGGGAUAAUAAAAUAAAGCCCAUCGUGCUGCUAAAGAAGGCUCCUUUUCUCUUCGGCUUUGGCUCCUUCAGACCUCGGCAGACAGUAAUUAAUGACCGUUCAGGCCGCUGACAAUACGCAGAGCUAUAGAAGCGCUAACCACCAAGAACACCAUUCAUCCCGCUUCUUUUGGAAACGGAGCCCGGCCGUUACACUGAGGUACAUUUUCAAUGCGACUCAUAAAUCUUCAGUCUCCGGACUCCCACCGAAAUGACAAUUUAGCCCAUAAUGCUCUCUGAACCAUUUUUCACGUGCUGUUUCGGCCCACUCUCAAUUAUCUGUGGGGUGGGGUGUGUCGGGGGGUGACCCAGAGUGUGCAGAUAAUAGAAAUCUAAAAGGAAUAGCUCCCAGAUGGCUCGGUCCUUUCAACCACCUCCCCGACUAGGAUUCACUUUUCCAGAGUGACCGAAAGGCAGCAGAAUCGGAGACACGCUGGCCUUAGUUUCGCCUUCUUUGCCGUCCAGGCCCCCGGUUGCGUAGUAAGUGGCCGAAAGGCAUUCAAUCAAUCGCUGGGAUUUCUCGAGUACUUUCGGGGUGCAGAGUACUGGACUAAGCGCUUAGGGGAGUACAGCAGAGUGAAAAGGAAGAGAAGCAGAAGCCCAGCUAACCCACAGAUCGGAUAAUUCAUUCCCAGGAUGGUUGCAUGAGGCUCUUCCUGGUUCUGACCUCAGCGUUUAGCUUGCGGUUACUAAGAACUUGGCAACUCUUAAGGGCAGACCAACUGUCCUUUAUUUUCCGGUGUCUCUUUUUUCUCUUCUCUUCUUUGUGCUAAAGACGAAUAUCCUGAAAUAAAUGUGCUAUGAGGGA